CACGACAGUAAGCACGACGACACGUCAC
This 28-nucleotide small RNA is filed under the name Bombyx mori (domestic silkworm). RNAcentral's name for it is "ovarian small RNA-4671". The record is from RNAcentral. Lineage: Eukaryota; Metazoa; Arthropoda; Insecta; Lepidoptera; Bombycidae.